Molecule: ribosomal RNA, 296 nt
Filed under: uncultured bacterium
Lineage: Bacteria
Description: partial 16S ribosomal RNA
Rfam family: Bacterial small subunit ribosomal RNA
Source: RNAcentral
AUUGAACGCUGGCGGCAGGCCUAACACAUGCAAGUCGAGCGGUAGAGAGGUGCUUGCAUCUCUUGAGAGCGGCGGACGGGUGAGUAAUGCCUAGGAAUCUGCCUAGUGGUGGGGGAUAACGUUCGGAAACGGACGCUAAUACCGCAUACGUCCUACGGGAGAAAGCGGGGGAUCUUCGGACCUCGCGCCAUUAGAUGAGCCUAGGUCGGAUUAGCUAGUUGGUGAGGUAAUGGCUCACCAAGGCGACGAUCCGUAACUGGUCUGAGAGGAUGAUCAGUCACACUGGAACUGAGACA